UACGAAGGUCCCGAGCGUUAUCCGGAUUUAUUGGGCUUAAAGGGUGCGUAGGCGGGUUAUUAAGUCAGUGGUGAAAGCCUACAGCUUAACUGUAGAAUUGCCAUUGAUACUGAUGAUCUUGAGUAUGAUUGAGGUGGGCGGAAUGUGUCAUGUAGCGGUGAAAUGCUUAGAUAUGACACAGAACACCGAUUGCGAAGGCAGCUCACUAAGUCAUAACUGACGCUGAUGCACGAAAGCGUGGGGAGCAAACAGG
This 253-nucleotide ribosomal RNA is filed under the name uncultured bacterium. RNAcentral describes it as "partial 16S ribosomal RNA". It matches the Rfam family "Bacterial small subunit ribosomal RNA", at positions 524 to 776 of the family's 1533-position model. The record is from RNAcentral.